Molecule: ribosomal RNA, 275 nt
Filed under: uncultured Zoogloea sp.
Lineage: Bacteria; Pseudomonadati; Pseudomonadota; Betaproteobacteria; Rhodocyclales; Zoogloeaceae
Description: partial 16S ribosomal RNA
Rfam family: Bacterial small subunit ribosomal RNA
Source: RNAcentral
CCUACGGGGGGCUGCAGUGGGGAAUUUUGGACAAUGGGGGCAACCCUGAUCCAGCCAUGCCGCGUGAGUGAAGAAGGCCUUCGGGUUGUAAAGCUCUUUCAGACGGAAAGAAAUCGCAUCUUCUAAUACAGGGUGUGGAUGACGGUACCGUAAGAAGAAGCACCGGCUAACUACGUGCCAGCAGCCGCGGUAAUACGUAGGGUGCGAGCGUUAAUCGGAAUUACUGGGCGUAAAGCGUGCGCAGGCGGUGAUGUAAGACAGAUGUGAAAUCCCCG